Molecule: ribosomal RNA, 172 nt
Filed under: Sphingomonas sp. 4(22-10)
Lineage: Bacteria; Pseudomonadati; Pseudomonadota; Alphaproteobacteria; Sphingomonadales; Sphingomonadaceae
Description: partial 16S ribosomal RNA
Rfam family: Bacterial small subunit ribosomal RNA
Source: RNAcentral
CCUACGGGAGGCAGCAGUGGGGAAUUUUGGACAAUGGGCGAAAGCCUGAUCCAGCAAUGCCGCGUGAGUGAUGAAGGCCUUAGGGUUGUAAAGCUCUUUUACCCGGGAUGAUAAUGACAGUACCGGGAGAAUAAGCUCCGGCUAACUCCGUGCCAGCAGCCGCGGUAAUAAU